This is a long non-coding RNA of Cyprinus carpio carpio, 2771 nucleotides long. The record is from Ensembl. Lineage: Eukaryota; Metazoa; Chordata; Actinopteri; Cypriniformes; Cyprinidae.
ACAAACCACCUACUGACAUCACAAUCACAGCUCACUCACCUGAGGAAGAUGAGCCAUCCCUGCCAAAUCUUUCAGCUAAUAAUACUUUCCAUGGUAUGUAUGUUUAAUGUUGAUAUUCUAUUCAUCUGUUAAGAUAAAUUUUUUUUUUUUUUUUUUUUUUUAAUCUUCAGUAAAUUAAGAUUAUGGCUGCAUUUUUUUAUUACUGUCUACUAAUCUCAAUCUCUGUUACCUAAAUUAUACGUUUAUCUCUAUAAAGCUGCUUUGAAACAAUCUACAUUGUUAAAAGCGCUAUAUAAAUGAAGAUGACUUGACUUGAUUUACUAUCCAAAUUAGACCAUAGCUAUUGCAUCUGGCAAUACAGUCAUGCCAAUGUCUAUAUUUUAUUUCUUGAAGUACCACACAUAUGCCUGAAUACUAAGCAAAUAAUUAAAUGUCAAGAUGACCACCCCCCACCCCAUCAACAUUUUUCAGAUUUCCAGCAUCUCAUCGAGCAAUCUGAGCAGCGGAUGCUCCUCGCAAUAGAGAGAAUGUCGACAGAUAUUUCAAAUUCUAUUGAGCGUCUGGUCCAGACUAUUCAACAGAAUCAUCCUGGUCCGGCAACCAUCACAACACCACCACAGGAGACCAUUGAGAGGCCCUGCAAAACAGUGCAGGAGCUGCAAGCUUUCAUAUUAAAACUUGAGGGCCCAGAAGGGAAAAAGGAUGGUAUGUUGAUAUAGCACAGGGGUCGGCAACCUUUUUGUCACAAAGUGCCAUUUUUAAGUUCAAAAUGUAGAUCUGUGUGCAUGUAGGCUAAAUUAUCUGUAAUGAAAUACAUACACCUCUCACAUUUGCUUGUGUGCCAGCGAUUAACCCUGCUCCGUGUGCCAUUGCAACACUAACAUAUGCUUUUUAAUAUUUAUCUUUAUAUGUUGCAUAGAUACAGUUUUUGAGCCUGAUGGGAGGUAGCAACAUUGGAGACGCUGUGAGGAGAAUCCUUCGGAAAAUAGCUACCAAUGAGGCCUGGUCAAAUUACAGCCUGAAAGGCCGAAAAGGAAAACUGACCUUCAUUGGGACAGCGCUUCACCAUAUUGUUUUAAGUGCUUGUGCCAAACAAUUUCCGAAACACACAGAAAAGGAAAUUGAUACAUGUAUAGGGGAAACCCUCAAACAUGCACCUCACCGUGCCAAGGUGGUCGCGACACCUGCAGCGGAAGAAGAACUUCGGGCACCUCCUGGGGAUGGAGACAAUGACUGACACACACGCACACACGCACACACGCACGCACGCACGCGCACACACACACACACACACACACACACACACAGUAUAUAUUUAAUUUAAAUAAUUGUUUUUGUUACUUGUUGUUCAGCAUUUACUGAACAUAAAAUUAAUAUAAAUCGUUGUUCUUGUUGUUAUUACUGUUUCCUAAUAUUUGGAAAAAUCUGUUUUUGUUCACACAAAAUAAAUAAAUAAAUGACUGAUUUUAUCUUUGAGUGUGUUAAACGUGCAUGCUUAUUCCUGAUUAAGGUUCUGAAGUGUUUUUUGCAGUAACAUUCUAGUUUGGUUCCCUACAGGUCCUUGAGACCAGUGGGGAUGUUCUUAGAACGUUCUGGGAACAUCACAUUUCCAAAUAAAACAUGGUCCCCUAAACGUUCCGAUAACGUCCUGAAUGUUCUGUGAAGGUCCGCAAAAUAACGUCCCCCGACCCUUUAAAGAACUCCACAUCAUGACCGUCUCCGAACGUUCCCGGAACGUUACUAGGCGACGUCCUUGACACUAGUGGGGACGUUCUGAGAACGUCCUGGGAACGUAACAUUUCUAGCUGGGUAAAAGUAAUAUAGAAUCAGUGGUGGACAGUAACGGAAUAGCUUUACUUCGUUACUGUACUUAAGUACAUUUUUCAAGUAUCUGUACUUUACUGGAGUAGUUUUAUUUUAAGUAACUUUUACUUUUACUUCACUACAUUCCAAAGCAUAAGAUCGUACUUUUUACUUCACUACAUUUCAUAAAACAUAUCGUUACUCCUUAUAAUAUAUCACGUGCUCUGAGACGCAGAAGCGGUGUCUGAUUCAAGAACGAACUGAUUCUUUUCAAUGAACCUUUUAAAUCGGUUGGCAAAUCGCACCAAACGAUUCAUUCACGAAUUAGAAUGAUCUGAUUGCAGCUGUUCUCGAGUCUACAACUCACUGAUUCAAAUGACCAUUUAGUGCGAGUCUCCAGUGAACUCAAUUCACAAAUAAGAACCGGGAGAUCUUGUGAGCGCGCGCGACUGAUGCUGCUAAAAGUAAGUUACUAAUGUCGAAUUUUAGGAUUAAUUAUUGUAAAUGAAUAUCAUAUUUAGGUCAAAACUGUUAUUUGUUUGUGAACUAAAUCUGCUGUAAAGGGUGAUCUAUUUAAGCCCACUGAAAUGCUUGAAUGCAAACACAUCAGCAUCUGUGCCUCUUAGGUAAAAAUACAUUAAAAUAACACAGAUUAAAUAAAAUAACUAAUGCACGUUCAAAUUCCCGCUAGCAUAACAUUAACAGUUCUAUUAAAAUGCUACGCAUUUAGCCCUAUGUGACGUCUGUUUUAUAUUGUUUAUCAACAGUAUAAAUGUUUAUAUUGUUUGGAUUAACUAGCCAAGUAGAUAUGAAUGUUUAUUCAUUACCAUACUGAAAAUAAGUAAAUAUUGGGAGCUGAUGCUAACUGUCUAACAAGCUUGCUGGUGCUAAAUUGAGGUUAUUUUUAAAAAUAAAGUCCAAAUAUUUUUAUUCAACCACCUAGAUAUAUUAUAUCUGGGGGAAAAAGA